ACGAACGCUGGCGGCAGGCCUAACACAUGCAAGUCGAGCCGACCCUUCGGGGUUAGCGGCGGACGGGUGAGUAACGCGUGGGAAUAUGCCCUUCUCUACGGAAUAGUCCUGGGAAACUGGGGGUAAUACCGUAUACGCCCUUUGGGGGAAAGAUUUAUCGGGGAAGGAUUAGCCCGCGUUGGAUUAGGUAGUUGGUGGGGGAAUGGCCUACCAAGCCGACGAUCCAUAGCUGGUUUGAGAGGAGGAUCAGCCACACUGGGACUGAGACACGGCCCAGACUCCUACGGGAGGGAGCAGUGGGGAAUCUUAGACAAGGGGGGCAACCCUGAUCUAGCCAUGCCGCGUGAGUGAUGAAGGCCUUAGGGUUGUAAAGCUCUUUCAGCUGGGAAGAUAAUGACGGUACCAGCAGAAGAAGCCCCGGCUAACUACGUG
Molecule: ribosomal RNA, 432 nt
Filed under: uncultured bacterium
Lineage: Bacteria
Description: partial 16S ribosomal RNA
Rfam family: Bacterial small subunit ribosomal RNA
Source: RNAcentral